This 468-nucleotide ribosomal RNA is filed under the name uncultured bacterium. Its description in RNAcentral is "partial 16S ribosomal RNA". It matches the Rfam family "Bacterial small subunit ribosomal RNA", at positions 28 to 507 of the family's 1533-position model. The record is from RNAcentral.
GACGAACGCUGGCGGCGUGCUUAACACAUGCAAGUCGAACGGAAAGGCCCUGCUUUUGUGGGGUGCUCGAGUGGCGAACGGGUGAGUAACACGUGAGUAACCUGCCCUUGACUUUGGGAUAACUUCAGGAAACUGGGGCUAAUACCGGAUAGGAGCUCCUGCUGCAUGGUGGGGGUUGGAAAGUUUCGGCGGUUGGGGAUGGACUCGCGGCUUAUCAGCUUGUUGGUGGGGUAGUGGCUUACCAAGGCUUUGACGGGUAGCCGGCCUGAGAGGGUGACCGGCCACAUGGGGACUGAGAUGCGGCCCAGACUCCUAUGGGAGACAGCAGUCGGGAAUAUUGCACAAUGGGCGGAAGCCUGAUGCAGCAACGCCGCGUGCGGGAUGACGGCCUUCGGGUUGUAAACCGCUUUCGCCUGUGACGAAGCGUGAGUGAAGGUAAUGGGUAAAGAAGCACCGGCUAACUACGUG